RNAcentral lists this ribosomal RNA (468 nucleotides) under uncultured bacterium. RNAcentral's name for it is "partial 16S ribosomal RNA". It matches the Rfam family "Bacterial small subunit ribosomal RNA", at positions 28 to 507 of the family's 1533-position model. The record is from RNAcentral.
GACGAACGCUGGCGGCGUGCUUAACACAUGCAAGUCGAACGGAAAGGCCCUGCUUUUGUGGGCUGCUCGAGUGGCGAACGGGUGAGUAACACGUGAGUAACCUGCCCUUGACUUUGGGAUAACUUCAGGAAACUGGGGCUACUCCCGGAUCGGAGCCCCUGCUGCAUGGUGGGGGUGGGAAAGUCUAGGCGGGUGGGGAUGGAUUCGCGGCUUAUGCGGUAGUUGUUGGGGUAGUGGCUUACCCAGGGAGUGACGGGUAGCCGGCCUGAGAAGGUGACCGGCCACAUGGGGACUGCGAUACGCAGCAGACGCCAACGGGGGGCAGCAGGGGGAAGUAUUACACAGUGGGCGGACGUCUGAGACAGCAACCCCGCGGGCGGGAUGACGGCCUUCUGGUUGUAAACCGCUGUCGCCUAUGACGAAGCGUGAGUGACGGUAAUGGGUAAAGAAGCACCGGCUAACUACGUG